GACGAACGCUGGCGGCGUGCCUAAUACAUGCAAGUAGAACGCACAGUUUAUACCGUAGCUUGCUACACCAUAGACUGUGAGUUGCGAACGGGUGAGUAACGCGUAGGUAACCUGCCUGGUAGCGGGGGAUAACUAUUGGAAACGAUAGCUAAUACCGCAUAAUAUUGAUUAUUGCAUGCUAAUUGAUUGAAAGAUGCUAUUGCAUCACUACCAGAUGGACCUGCGUUGUAUUAGCUAGUAGGUGAGGUAACGGCUCACCUAGGCGACGAUACAUAGCCGACCUGCGAGGGUGAUCGGCCACACUGGGACUGAGACACGGCCCAGACGCCUACGGGAGGAAGCAGUAGGGAAUCUUCGGCAAUGGACGAAAGUCUGACCGAGCAACGCCGCGUGAGUGAAGAAGGUUGUCGGAUCGUAAAGCUCUGUUGUAAGAGAAGAACGGGUGUGAGAGUGGAAAGUUCACACUGUGACGGUAUCUUACCAGAAAGGGACGGCUAACUACGUG
RNAcentral lists this ribosomal RNA (505 nucleotides) under uncultured bacterium. Its description in RNAcentral is "partial 16S ribosomal RNA". It matches the Rfam family "Bacterial small subunit ribosomal RNA", at positions 28 to 507 of the family's 1533-position model. The record is from RNAcentral.